RNAcentral lists this ribosomal RNA (479 nucleotides) under uncultured bacterium. RNAcentral's name for it is "partial 16S ribosomal RNA". It matches the Rfam family "Bacterial small subunit ribosomal RNA", at positions 28 to 506 of the family's 1533-position model. The record is from RNAcentral.
GACGAACGCUGGCGGCGUGCUUAACACAUGCAAGUCGAACGAUGAAGAAAAGAAUCGAAGCUUCGGCAGAAAUUCAUUUCGGAUUAGUGGCAGACGGGUGAGUAACGCGUGAGCAACCUACCUCUUACAAAGGGAUAGCCUCGGGAAACCGGGAUUAAUACCAUAUAACAUUGCGACGAAGCAUUUCGAUGCAAUCAAAGCUAUGGCGGUAAGAGAUGGGCUCGCGUCCCAUUAACCGGAUGGUGAGGUAACGGCUCACCAUAGUGACGAUGGGUAACCGGCCUGAGAGGGUGAACGGUCACACUGGAACUGAGACACGGUCCAGACUCCUACGGGAGGCAGCAGUGGGGAAUAUUGCACAAUGGAGGGAACUCUGAUGCAGCGACGCCGCGUGAGUGAUGAAGGAAUUCGUUUCGUAAAACUCUGUUCUAUGGGAAGAAAAGGACUGUACCAUAGGAGAAAGCUCCGGCUAAAUACGU